GACCAAAACCAUCUAGUAUGUGUUCAUUUCCGUUGGCUUAGCGGCUACUGUUAUCCGGUUGGCAAUGAUGUCUUAUGUCUUACUUCGGAAAGUUCCUUUUGUGGCGCAGCGGGGCAAAAGAUCAAGGAUCUGGAGAUGACGAGAAUAUGUUAGCUGAAAACAUAGGCUCGGAUUGAGUUCAGGCUGCUUGGAGCUCGUUAUUUGUGUAAAGAUUCGCAUUCGUUUCAGAGACUUUGAGGCUGGGAAAGGUUUUCUUUUUAAUUACCAGCGACAGAAUUAUCGUGAUUCACGAUUGCCAGUAUGUGCUUAAUCAAGCUGAGAAAAAAUGCAAAGUGCGGAUAUUACAUGUAUUCUGUAAUUUAGCUCUUUUACCGGAGUGUCAGUCAAGGGAUUUUAGAGAGAACUGUCAUCAACUUUAAAAGUGGAAUUGAAAGACUGCACAAGGAAAGAGAAAUCUUGAUGUUUCUCUAUGAGAUAGACUUUAGGGAAAUAACUCGGUUCAACAGGCCUCUAUAGCAAUCGGAAGGACAUGAUAUUCUUUUCAUCCUUUAAUUAACGAUAAAAACAAGUCUGUAAGGACAUUUGCAGACUAUUUUCCUUUUGAGGACCAGAGCAAGAGGAUAUUGCGUUUUAACGCUGUUAUUGCAUUCGGUCUCUUUCGAAGAUUUACUGAAAAUCUGCCUGAUUAUUCCAUGUUUUUUCGUCGAAUUUAAUAGGGAAAGUCGUUGUAGUGUUCAUAAAGCAAUUACAAUUAUAUAUCUGCAGCCAUGAUCUGAAUAAGACUAAGUAUUGCCAUGAUAAAGCAAUGAGAUUAUAAAAGAUUUUAAUGUAGCACUCCCAAGGUAUGAGAUGCGAAAUUUUAUCGACUGUACCUUGUCUUGGCAAAGUCACCUUUCUGGAAAUGCCGAAACAUCUUGGUUUCCUGAAAAUCUCAAAGAACAGUGGUAACUAAGUAUGGGUAUGGAGAGUGAAGUGUCGUUUCAUAAAUAAAAGUUAAAAAAGUUUGCAGCAUAAACAAAAACAGCUGGAAAUGUAUAUGUUACCCUCAUUAUUUCGGUAAAAGAAACCUAUAUGUAAGCUUCGGCUUUAAACUACUAACAGAUAAGCUUUUGUUAACAUUAUCUGUGCAUUUAAUCAAGUAUCCAAUCGAUGCCCGUCACCUGAACAUUGGACAACCUUUGUUUGCGGGGUCGAGAAAACCUUCACCAUUUGUGUCUUUAAGGGUGCACGUAGUUAUUCCAACAUAGGGAUCUCAAACUUGGAACGAAAAGAGCAUUUGAUUAAUAAAUGAUUGAAGGAAUGAA
Long non-coding RNA from Pocillopora damicornis (cauliflower coral), 1304 nucleotides. The record is from RefSeq and is a predicted model, not a curated record. NCBI's taxonomy places the organism in Eukaryota, Metazoa, Cnidaria, Anthozoa, Scleractinia, Pocilloporidae.